RNAcentral lists this long non-coding RNA (863 nucleotides) under Sorghum bicolor (sorghum). Its description in RNAcentral is "long non-coding RNA (SBIC_LNC007251)". The record is from RNAcentral. Lineage: Eukaryota; Viridiplantae; Streptophyta; Magnoliopsida; Poales; Poaceae.
CAGAUAGCUAGCUAGAUGAGGCAAAAAAAAAUACUGUAGUGGAAAGUUAUGUGAGCUGUAAAAGAGGUGUUUCUAGGAGAUUAUGCUAGAUUAGCUAUUUGGGAGUCGCUAGCUAUUUGAUCUCUCUCCUUGAUAGCCAAUGAAAUUCUUUGUAGACUAGCUAUUUGAGAACUAUAGAGGACGCCCUGAGUGUUGGUCCAAUUUUUUUCGUCACUUCAAGCCUGUUUUCUUUUUUUUUUAGUUUCACAGAGCUUGGAAAAAGGCCGUGUUACGGUCACCCUCCCUCAACCAAGAGAUUCUUGACCUUUGACGCUCCAUCGUUUCCUCUCUAGCCAAAACCUCAUUUAACUUGGCCAGAUCUCAUGCUCCCUAGGUGUUAGCCCUCGAUACAGGGUACCAUUCCUCUCAUUCUCAAGCUCUUUCCUCAAUUCUUGCGGUUGUUUCUUCACCGACCCGAAGAAAUCCCGGUCCUAGCGUUUUAGUGAUGACUGCAAUGAGGAGAGAGCAUCAACAACACUUGACAGGUCACCAUCUUCUGGUCUAGGGUCCCAAGACUGAUUAACAAAGUCCCGGUACUGUCCAUGCGACACUUGACAGGUCACUUCAAGCCUAUUUUUUGUGUUUUAGAUGCAGUACUAUAUUUUAUCAGGAUGUUGUAUAUUUUGCAAUGACUAUAUACUAUAUUGCAAGUGUAUGUUUCAAAUAUUUCAGUUGUUUUAAAUCUUAUACUCUUAUAAAGCAAAACAUACAAUUUGUCCAACUAGGCAAUACACAUUCUAACAUAUUUAUAUUUCUUCUUUAUACCCGCAACAACGCGCGGGGAAUCUUCCUAGUGUGUCUUAAUUUUUUAUCUAGAUGUUGCA